RNAcentral lists this ribosomal RNA (231 nucleotides) under uncultured bacterium. Its description in RNAcentral is "partial 16S ribosomal RNA". It matches the Rfam family "Bacterial small subunit ribosomal RNA", at positions 524 to 752 of the family's 1533-position model. The record is from RNAcentral.
UACGGGGGGGAGCAAGCGUUGUUCGGAUUUACUGGGCGUAAAGCGCGCGUAGGCGGCUUGACAAGUCGAGUGUGAAAUCCCCGGGCUUAACCUGGGACCUGCAUUCGAAACUGUCUUGCUAGAGUAUGGGAGAGGGAAGUGGAAUUUCAGGUGUAGCGGUGAAAUGCGUAGAUAUCUGAAGGAACAUCAGUGGCGAAAGCGACUUCCUGGACCAAUACUGACGCUCAGUGU